CUAUUCAGAAGGGGACAGUUUGC
Molecule: microRNA, 23 nt
Filed under: Pteropus alecto (black flying fox)
Lineage: Eukaryota; Metazoa; Chordata; Mammalia; Chiroptera; Pteropodidae
Description: pal-miR-8908b-5p
Source: miRBase by way of RNAcentral